Ornithorhynchus anatinus (platypus) is the source of this 1167-nucleotide long non-coding RNA. RefSeq lists it as uncharacterized. The record is from RefSeq and is a predicted model, not a curated record. The transcript has 4 exons. NCBI's taxonomy places the organism in Eukaryota, Metazoa, Chordata, Mammalia, Monotremata, Ornithorhynchidae.
GGCGGCGGGUCGGUUUAGGGAGAAGGAGACAGAGCUAGGUCCUUCGUUUAGGGCCCAGGUUUGGGGAUGACUGGAGUCUGUGAUGCCUCACCAACAUGGUGCAUGAUCCCUACCAGCACUUGUGUAUGGGGAUACUCAACUGAAUAUUGCACCACUGCUAGGAUAGGAUCCCCAGAUGUGGCUCCCAGCCCAGUGGGCCAUCCCGGAGGACCAUCGCCUCUGAGGACAGAAAGCUGAUGCUCUUCUAGCCCCAGAGGAGUGCUGUGGGACCAUGGAGAUCGGAGCAGACGACGAUGGAGCAGCUCAGAGGUGGACAUUCCAUGAGCCCUGAUGUAGCAGCGGAGACGGAUCACCGGUGGACUGUACCACAGUCCAGGACUGCGUUGCCCCGAGUGGGCUUUGGACUCUGCGCCACAUUUGCCAUACACUAUCUUGCCUCUCUGGUCUACUGCCUUAUGUAUCCGGCCAGUUCCCUCCCUCUCACUGUCCCCAUCCCCUUCCUUCCUUGCCCUGGAUGAUGCUGUUUCCUUUGGCCCUAAACACUGUGCCUUCUGUAGCUGUGGGUCCAGCGCUUAGAACAGUGCUCGGCACAUAAGUGCUUAACAAAUAUUAUUUAUUAUUUUAAGGAUCUGGGCAGGCUCCACCUGGGGUGCUGUGUGUGUAGGGGGAGGUGUCUGUGAUGGGCAGGGGUGAGAAAGUGGUAGGUGGGACUCCCUUUCUCUGCAGGGAGGCAGUCUUGGAAGCAGGAGCUGGGGCUCUGACCAGGGACUCUGCCUCUUUCUGACCCGACUUGGGGGGGCAGGUUUGGGCUGGGGCCCUUAAUUCUAUAGACAGACCAAACCGCCUCCCUGGCCCGGUCUGCAGAGUUUCCUGUUCAUCCCCAGCCCCUGUGGAUUCAAGGCCCCUCCCGGCCAGACAGUGGGAGCCCCGGGGGGAGGAGAAUGCAGGAGCAGGGCAGAGUGUGAGCCUGGAAGUGUGAAUGUGUUUGUGUGAGCCUGUAUGCACAAUACCUCAUGGAGGAGCUGGGGAGUGGGGUGAGGACUUGAUCCCUCAGGAGUCAAGGUCGAAGUGUUCCCCAAAGGAAACAGCACAGUCCCCUUCCCCACCACUGACUGGUCCCAGCUCUUUGGAAGCCGCCCUGGAAUGUGGAAUAAAAUGUUCACUCUG